Molecule: long non-coding RNA, 344 nt
Organism: Asparagus officinalis (garden asparagus)
Lineage: Eukaryota; Viridiplantae; Streptophyta; Magnoliopsida; Asparagales; Asparagaceae
Exons: 2
Source: RefSeq, a predicted model, not a curated record
AUAAUAAGUUUCAGGCAUGGCCUCGCACUGCUGGACCUCCAGUCGUCAUGAAUCCCAUCAGCCGCCAGAACUUCAUCGUCAAGACAUCUGAUUCUUGAGAGGUACAAUGAAGUUGUUCUCUGGACAGAGAUGUUUAAUAAUUUCUCAUUUGCGUUCAGCAAAAGAUUAGUUUUUCCUUCUUUCGAAUGACUUUGUAAUAAUUUGCAGAGAUGUGGACUGUUUCAAAAACAUACACAUUUGAUUAGUGUUCAGUGCUCAUUUGACUUGCUUGCUCUAUUUGAGCUAAAAUGCCACCUUUUUUUUUAAUAGCAAAUUGAAAUGCUUAUGUAGAAUUUGUCCUGUUA